Molecule: ribosomal RNA, 1530 nt
Filed under: Escherichia coli
Lineage: Bacteria; Pseudomonadati; Pseudomonadota; Gammaproteobacteria; Enterobacterales; Enterobacteriaceae
Description: bacterial SSU rRNA
Rfam family: Bacterial small subunit ribosomal RNA
Source: RNAcentral
AGAGUUUGAUCAUGGCUCAGAUUGAACGCUGGCGGCAGGCCUAACACAUGCAAGUCGAACGGUAACAGGAAGCAGCUUGCUGCUUUGCUGACGAGUGGCGGACGGGUGAGUAAUGUCUGGGAAGCUGCCUGAUGGAGGGGGAUAACUACUGGAAACGGUAGCUAAUACCGCAUAACGUCGCAAGACCAAAGAGGGGGACCUUCGGGCCUCUUGCCAUCGGAUGUGCCCAGAUGGGAUUAGCUAGUAGGUGGGGUAACGGCUCACCUAGGCGACGAUCCCUAGCUGGUCUGAGAGGAUGACCAGCCACACUGGAACUGAGACACGGUCCAGACUCCUACGGGAGGCAGCAGUGGGGAAUAUUGCACAAUGGGCGCAAGCCUGAUGCAGCCAUGCCGCGUGUAUGAAGAAGGCCUUCGGGUUGUAAAGUACUUUCAGCGGGGAGGAAGGAAGUAAAGUUAAUACCUUUGCUCAUUGACGUUACCCGCAGAAGAAGCACCGGCUAACUCCGUGCCAGCAGCCGCGGUAAUACGGAGGGUGCAAGCGUUAAUCGGAAUUACUGGGCGUAAAGCGCACGCAGGCGGUUUGUUAAGUCAGAUGUGAAAUCCCCGGGCUCAACCUGGGAACUGCAUCUGAUACUGGCAAGCUUGAGUCUCGUAGAGGGGGGUAGAAUUCCAGGUGUAGCGGUGAAAUGCGUAGAGAUCUGGAGGAAUACCGGUGGCGAAGGCGGCCCCCUGGACGAAGACUGACGCUCAGGUGCGAAAGCGUGGGGAGCAAACAGGAUUAGAUACCCUGGUAGUCCACGCCGUAAACGAUGUCGACUUGGAGGUUGUGCCCUUGAGGCGUGGCUUCCGGAGCUAACGCGUUAAGUCGACCGCCUGGGGAGUACGGCCGCAAGGUUAAAACUCAAAUGAAUUGACGGGGGCCCGCACAAGCGGUGGAGCAUGUGGUUUAAUUCGAUGCAACGCGAAGAACCUUACCUGGUCUUGACAUCCACGGAAGUUUUCAGAGAUGAGAAUGUGCCUUCGGGAACCGUGAGACAGGUGCUGCAUGGCUGUCGUCAGCUCGUGUUGUGAAAUGUUGGGUUAAGUCCCGCAACGAGCGCAACCCUUAUCCUUUGUUGCCAGCGGUCCGGCCGGGAACUCAAAGGAGACUGCCAGUGAUAAACUGGAGGAAGGUGGGGAUGACGUCAAGUCAUCAUGGCCCUUACGACCAGGGCUACACACGUGCUACAAUGGCGCAUACAAAGAGAAGCGACCUCGCGAGAGCAAGCGGACCUCAUAAAGUGCGUCGUAGUCCGGAUUGGAGUCUGCAACUCGACUCCAUGAAGUCGGAAUCGCUAGUAAUCGUGGAUCAGAAUGCCACGGUGAAUACGUUCCCGGGCCUUGUACACACCGCCCGUCACACCAUGGGAGUGGGUUGCAAAAGAAGUAGGUAGCUUAACCUUCGGGAGGGCGCUUACCACUUUGUGAUUCAUGACUGGGGUGAAGUCGUAACAAGGUAACCGUAGGGGAACCUGCGGUUGGAUCACCU